UCGCGGAGUGGAAUCUGAAGGGAGCAGGAGGCGAACCUCUGGUCUGACGAACAGAGAUCGCGUUAGGCGCAAGUGGGCGGGUAAGGUUGCUUAACAAACCGAAGCCCGAUAGCUAUACGGAAGCCUAUGGGGUAGAUGCGGCAGGUGGAUUGAGGGGAAGA
RNAcentral lists this non-coding RNA (161 nucleotides) under Arabiibacter massiliensis. The record is from RNAcentral. Lineage: Bacteria; Bacillati; Actinomycetota; Coriobacteriia; Eggerthellales; Eggerthellaceae.